UGUGCAAAGGUAGCAUAAUUAUUAGUUUUUUAAUUGAAAGCUUGUAUGAAGGGUUGGACGAGAUAAAAUCUGUCUUUAUUUAAAUUACAAUAGAAUUUAACUUUUAAGUCAAAAGGCUUAAAUGUAUAUAAAAGACGAGAAGACCCUAUAGAUCUUUAUUUAAUUAAUAUUUUGAUAAUUUAAGAUUAUUUUAGUUUAAAGUUUUAAUUAAAUUUUAUUGGGGUAAUAUAGAGAUUAAAUAAAUUCUUUUUAUUUAUUACAUUGAUUUAUGAAUAUAUGAUCCAAUAUUAUUGAUUAUAAGAUUAAGUUACCUUAGGGAUAACAGCGUAAUUUUUUUGGAGAGCUCAUAUCGAUAAAAAAGUUUGCGACCUCGAUGUUGGAUUAAAAAUUAGCUUGGGUGCAGAAGCUCAAGAUUUUGGUCUGUUCGACCAUUAAAUUUUUACAUGAUCUGAGUUCAGACCGGCGUAAGCCAGGUCGGUUUCUAUCUUUAUUUAUCUAAAAUAUUUUAGUACGAAAGGACCAAAUAUUUAAUAUAAUUAUAUUUCUUUUUUGAAUAAUAUU
RNAcentral lists this ribosomal RNA (561 nucleotides) under Cicindela lusitanica. RNAcentral's name for it is "partial 16S ribosomal RNA". It matches the Rfam family "Bacterial large subunit ribosomal RNA", at positions 1947 to 2733 of the family's 2925-position model. Lineage: Eukaryota; Metazoa; Arthropoda; Insecta; Coleoptera; Carabidae. The record is from RNAcentral.